This 439-nucleotide ribosomal RNA is filed under the name uncultured bacterium. RNAcentral's name for it is "partial 16S ribosomal RNA". It matches the Rfam family "Bacterial small subunit ribosomal RNA", at positions 339 to 795 of the family's 1533-position model. The record is from RNAcentral.
CUACGGGGGGCUGCAGUGGGGAAUAUUGCGCAAUGGAGGAAACUCUGAUGCAGCAACGCCGCGUGGAGGAUGACACUUUUCGGGGCGUAAACUCCUUUUAUAUAGGAAGAAGAUGACGGUACUAUAUGAAUAAGCGCCGGCUAACUCCGUGCCAGCAGCCGCGGUAAUACGGAGGGCGCAAGCGUUACUCGGAAUCACUGGGCGUAAAGAGCGUGUAGGCGGAUUAAAAAGUCAGAAGUGAAAUCCUAUAGCUUAACUAUAGAACUGCUUCUGAAACUCUUAAUCUAGAAUAUGGGAGAGGUAGAUGGAAUUUCUGGUGUAGGGGUAAAAUCCGUAGAGAUCAGAAGGAAUACCGAUUGCGAAGGCGAUCUACUAGAACAUUAUUGACGCUGAGACGCGAAAGCGUGGGGAGCAAACAGGAUUAGAUACCCUAGUAGUC